Molecule: long non-coding RNA, 973 nt
Organism: Trichosurus vulpecula (common brushtail)
Lineage: Eukaryota; Metazoa; Chordata; Mammalia; Diprotodontia; Phalangeridae
Exons: 2
Source: RefSeq, a predicted model, not a curated record
CGGAACCUAAGCGGCCCUGGCGGGCGGCCUGGGAGAGGCACGUGCUUGGAGCCUCUGCCCACAGCCCCUGCGACACCCCGAGAAAAUGAGGCUGCCCAUCCGACCCCCACGAGAAGCCAGCUCUGAACUUCCCAGCCCUCCGCCUCCAGGAAGCCCUCCAUCUCCCCGGCGAGGAGGAGGAGGGGGCCUGGCACGUGAGAAGCGCCCAAUUGAGGUUUCUCUGGACUUUUUUGACCUCUGUGCCCUCUGGCAGGACAAAUCUUCUGCUUCUUUCAUGUGACAGAUCUUCAGAUGCUUGGAGUCAGACAUCACAUCUUCCCCUAACCUCCUCUUUUCCGGGCUAAACUUUGCACAGAGGACACAGCAAAAGACCCGGAGUCAGAAAGACCUGAGCUCAAACCCCUCCUCGGACACUUCCUAAGUCUGUGAGCCCCGCCAAGUCUUUGCCUUAGUUUCCUUGUCUGUAAAAUGGGGAUAACAGUAGCAUCCACCUUUCAUGGCUGUUGUGAGGACCGGAUGAGAUGAUGUUUGUACUACGUUAAUGAUUAUCGUUGUUAUUACGACAGUGCCUUCGGUUAAUCUUCCUAGAGCAAGAUCUUGGGGGUCUUCACCAUGCUGGUUGUACUCUUCUGGAUGGCUCCGGAUGGCUCCGGCGUGGAGGCCCCCAGCAUUCAAUUCAACCAUCCAGACGUGUUCUUACCAGGGUCUGUCACCUCCCUGCUGCUGGACGAAGACUCCAUUAUAUUUCUUGUCUCCAAUAUCACCCUAAUGUCUCACAUUCAGUUUGCAAUCCCCUAAGACUCCCAUUUCUUUCUCAAAUGACUGCUUUCUGGUCACAUCCUUCACCAACCCCCACCCCAUGAUCCUGUACCAACGAAGCUGACUUUUGAAUGUUGAAAUUUCAUCUCUCUUAAUUUUGACGUUUGGAUCAGCUCAACAUUACGUCCAUCAAAGAAUAAAUGAAUGGAAAGCA